CAGUCGUACCUUCGGGUAAUCAGCCUUUCGGGUGCGAUUCUGUGGAGUUUGAGGAGCUUAACACCUUCAUGCUUUGCAUAUUCGUGCUCUUGGGUGUACUUGCCCGUGUGGUUGGUUAACAUCAAUUUCGGGCACCAUAAAAUGGCUGGAGGAAUGUAGCUUCGAUCUUGUAUUGAAGUGUUAUAGCCUUCGGUAGAUGUGGUGAUCGAGAUUGAGGAUUGCAACGGAUACCUUUCGGGGCUACCUGCCUGAUCUCUGAUCGUUGCUUUGGUGCUGAAAGCGUGCUUAUAGUUAUCAAAGUCGAUGGUUAAUAGGUUAGAAUGGGUUAAA
RNAcentral lists this ribosomal RNA (330 nucleotides) under uncultured Glomus. Its description in RNAcentral is "eukaryotic LSU rRNA". Lineage: Eukaryota; Fungi; Glomeromycota; Glomeromycetes; Glomerales; Glomeraceae. The record is from RNAcentral. RNAcentral also lists the same sequence under 1 other name.